RNAcentral lists this ribosomal RNA (484 nucleotides) under uncultured Bacteroidota bacterium. Its description in RNAcentral is "bacterial SSU rRNA". It matches the Rfam family "Bacterial small subunit ribosomal RNA", at positions 28 to 507 of the family's 1533-position model. Lineage: Bacteria; Pseudomonadati; Bacteroidota. The record is from RNAcentral.
GAUGAACGCUAGCGGCAGGCCUCAUACAUGCAAGUCGAGGGGCAGCGGGACACUUCGGUGUUGCCGGCGACCGGCGGACGGGUGCGUAAUGCGCAUGCAAUCUACUUUACACUGGGGCAUAGCCUCCGGAAACGGGAAUUAAUACCCCAUAUAAUCUUUCUGGCGCAUGCUGGAAAGAUGAAAGCUCUGGCGGUGUAAAAUGAGCGUGCGUCCUAUUAGCUAGUUGGAGAGGUAACGGCUCACCAAGGCUACGAUGGGUAGGGGUUCUUAGUGGAGGGUCCCCCACACUGGCACUGAGAUACGGGCCAGACUCCUACGGGAGGCAGCAGUAGGGGAUAUUGGUCAAUGGGCGCAAGCCUGAACCAGCCAUGCCGCGUGCAGGAUGAAAGCUCUCUGAGUUGUAAACUGCUUUUGUACAGGAGCAAAAAAACCCCUGCGGGGGUUCUUGAGAGUACUGUAAGAAUAAGCACCGGCUAAUUCCGUG